GGACGAAGAUGGGCCAUGAGGUCGUUAGUUGGCUAUUUCCAGAGGCCAAAAGGGAGAGUGAUCGGAUUUCCAGAGGCCAAAAGGGAGAGCGAUCGGAUUUUUAUGAGUGUUUUUUAUAUGUCCCGUGGAUCUGCAGGGACGAAGAUGGGACAUAAGGUCGCUAGUUCGCUAUUUCCAGAGGUCAAAAGGGAGAGUGAUCGGGUUGCCAUGAGUGUUUUCUUAUGUCCCGUGAAUUUGCAAGAACAAUGGGAGACAAGGUCGCUAGGUCGCUGUUUCCAGAGGCCAAAGGGGAGAGUGAUCAGAUUUUCAUGAGUGUUUUUUAUGUCCCGUGAAUUUGCAAGAACGAAAAUGGGAGAUAAGGUCGCUAGGUCGCUAUUUCCAGAGGGCAAAAGGGAGAGUGAUCGGGUUGCCGUGAGUGUUUUCUUAUGUUCCGUGGAUCCGCAGGGACGAAGAUUGGACAUAAGGUCGCUAGGUCGCUAUUCUCAAACGUUUUCACCUUUCACAUCAACUAUUACCAAAGACCAAAAGGGAGAUAUCUCGAGUCCUAAUAAGAGUUCUUUUUAUACAUGUCCCGUGAAUCUGCGGGGAACGUUAUAGAGGGAGGAAGAAGGGAAAAGUAUUUAGACACAUGACACGAGACGCAGAUUGAUCCCCUCCG
Molecule: long non-coding RNA, 658 nt
Organism: Eriocheir sinensis (Chinese mitten crab)
Lineage: Eukaryota; Metazoa; Arthropoda; Malacostraca; Decapoda; Varunidae
Exons: 3
Source: RefSeq, a predicted model, not a curated record